UACGUAGGGGGCUAGCGUUGUCCGGAAUUAUUGGGCGUAAAGAGCUCGUAGGCGGUCUGUCGCGUCUGGUGUGAAAACUCAGGGCUUAACCCUGAGCUUGCAUCGGGUACGGGCAGACUAGAGUGUGCUAGGGGAGACUGGAAUUCCUGGUGUAGCGGUGAAAUGCGCAGAUAUCAGGAGGAACACCGGUGGCGAAGGCGGGUCUCUGGGGCAUAACUGACGCUGAGGAGCGAAAGCAUGGGGAGCGAACAGG
This 253-nucleotide ribosomal RNA is filed under the name uncultured bacterium. Its description in RNAcentral is "partial 16S ribosomal RNA". It matches the Rfam family "Bacterial small subunit ribosomal RNA", at positions 524 to 776 of the family's 1533-position model. The record is from RNAcentral.